GAUGAACGCUGGCGGCGUGCCUAAUACAUGCAAGUCGAGCGAACGGACGAGAAUCUUGCUUCUCUGAUGUUAGCGGCGGACGGGUGAGUAACACGUGGAUAACCUACCUAUAUGACUUGGAUAACUUCUGGACACCGGAGCUAAUACCGGAUAAUAUUUUCAACCGCAUGGUUCAAAAGUGAAUGACGUUCUUGCUGUCACUUUUAGAUUUUUCCGCGCUGCAUUAGCUAGUUGGUAAGGUAACGGCUUACCAAGGCAACAAUGCAUAUCCGACCGGAGAGGGGGAAAGGAGACAGUGGAAGAGAGAGACGGACCAGACUCGGACGGGAGGAAGCAGUAGGGAAUAUGCGGAAAUGGGGGAAAGGAUGACGGAGCAAAGCGGCGUGAGUGAAGAAGGAAAUGGGAUGGUAAAACUCUGUUAUUAGGGAAGAACAAAUGAGUAAGUAAAAGUGGAAAAAAUGACGGUACCUAAUGAGAAAGCAACGGCUAACUACGUG
Molecule: ribosomal RNA, 497 nt
Filed under: uncultured bacterium
Lineage: Bacteria
Description: partial 16S ribosomal RNA
Rfam family: Bacterial small subunit ribosomal RNA
Source: RNAcentral